AGGACUUGGAGCUUAUGGGUUUGAAGCUGGACAUCCUUCCUCUAAUGUCGGGGAGUGGCUUCUCUAUGCCACAGCCUUGCCUCCAUGAUAUGCUGCUUCGCCUUGUGUCAAGACCUAUGGAAUCAGCUGGACCAAGAUCUCUGAUAUCAUGAGCCCUGAAUAAACCAUCCCUCCUCUAAGUUGUCCUUGUCAGUUUUAUUACUUUGAAGAAGCCAUCUGAUGACUCCUGGCCUGGAAGCAGUCUCUGAACUAAGAAUCCCAAAGAAUCCACAUGAGAGGGAUGCCAUCUUGCUGUCUUGAGGAAGCAAACAGCUAUGGUUUGGAGGAAAUCGUGUGACUGGAAGAUGUGAGUAACGUCUAGGAGCAAAGAGGGACACCUGUGGCUAAUAGCCAGCAAGUAAAGGUUCUCAUAAAUUGUGCCAAGAAUCAAUAAAUUUGGCAGAGAAUCCUAAAUUGUACAUGAAAUUCAUAGAUAUGCAAGUUCCUUGUAUAAAUGGUAUAGUAUUUGCCUAGAAUUCAUGCACAUCCUCUUGCAUAUCAUAUAUAUAUAUAUAUCCUCAAGCUCACACCUUGAUUAGGGCUUAGUGAGACCCCACACAGAAACUUCUCUUAAGAGAUGCUAGACUUUCACCCAUAGAAACAUUGAAUUAAUUUCAAAUAUAUAUUUGUGUUCUGUCAAUCCACUAAUUUGUGGUAAUUUGUUAUAAAGCAAUAUAAAUUAGAAGCCAUGAAAACAUGUCCAUAGGAAACCUACAUGUGAGUGUCUACAUUAACCUUCAAUCAGAAUAGCCAGAACCUGGAAACAACACACUUAUCUAUUAACUGGUAAAUAGAUAAACAAUGUAUGACAUAUCUAUAUGAUGGAAUACUACUGAGUAAUUUAAAGUAAUUUAAAGUGACAUCUCCUCCAAUAUAUUUAAUAGCACAAAUAAAUAUGAAAAACAUUAGCUUAGUGACCAAAGAUAGACAUAAUAGGCUCCACACUGUAUGUCUACAUUUCUAUAUAGACAUUAUAAAGCCAGUACUAUAGGGACAGAAAAGGGGUCAUCAUUUAUCAAGGGCUAAGUUUAACAUUGAAACAAUUGCCUAGAAAUGGAAAGUCACAUAGGGAAUCAUCUUCCAUACCCUUACUUCAUUAAAUCUCUUUUUGCUAUUUUCCUGAACUAUAAUUUUAUUUGUAAUUUUGUAUAUAUUAUAUGUUAUUUCUAUAUCUACAUCUGUAUCUGUAUCUAUAUGUCAUUGUACAGUUAUUAUACAUUGGUAUCCACUGGGUGAGAAUUAGUUCCAGGACCCACUGUAGAUACUUAAAUUCAUAUAUAUGCAAGUUCCUUGUAUAAAUGGUAGAGUAUUUGUCUAAAAUUUAUGCACAUCCUCUUGCAUAACUUAAAUCAUCUUCAGGUUGUUUAUUACAUAUCAUGUGAAAAAGAUGUUAUAUUUCAUUGCUAGGGAAUAAUGACAAGGAAAAAAAUUUGUAUAUGUUCAGUACAGACUCAAUUUUUUUCCAGGAUAUUUUCAAUUUGCAGUUGGUUAAAUCAACAAGUGUGGUAUCCACAGAUAUG
This is a long non-coding RNA of Ictidomys tridecemlineatus (thirteen-lined ground squirrel), 1559 nucleotides long. RefSeq lists it as uncharacterized. NCBI's taxonomy places the organism in Eukaryota, Metazoa, Chordata, Mammalia, Rodentia, Sciuridae. The record is from RefSeq and is a predicted model, not a curated record.